This 253-nucleotide ribosomal RNA is filed under the name uncultured bacterium. RNAcentral describes it as "partial 16S ribosomal RNA". It matches the Rfam family "Bacterial small subunit ribosomal RNA", at positions 524 to 776 of the family's 1533-position model. The record is from RNAcentral.
GACAGAGGUGCCGAGCGUUAGGCGGAAUCACUGGGCUUAAAGCGUGUGUAGGCGGACUUCUCAGUACCUUGUGAAAUCCCACGGCUCAACCGUGGAACUGCUCGGUAUACUGGUUGUCUUGAGCCACUUAGGGGCAGUCGGAACAGACGGUGGAGCGGUGAAAUGCGUAGAUAUCGUCUGGAACGCCAAAGGUGAAAACAGGUUGCUGGGGAUGUGACGACGCUGAGACACGAAAGCCAGGGGAGCAAACGGG